RNAcentral lists this ribosomal RNA (618 nucleotides) under Staphylococcus equorum. RNAcentral's name for it is "bacterial SSU rRNA". It matches the Rfam family "Bacterial small subunit ribosomal RNA", at positions 73 to 677 of the family's 1533-position model. The record is from RNAcentral. Lineage: Bacteria; Bacillati; Bacillota; Bacilli; Caryophanales; Staphylococcaceae.
AAGGAGCUUGCUCCUUUGAGUUAGCGGCGGACGGGUGAGUAACACGUGGGUAACCUACCUAUAAGACUGGAAUAACUUCGGGAAACCGGAGCUAAUGCCGGAUAACAUUUGGAACCGCAUGGUUCUAAAGUAAAAGAUGGUUUUGCUAUCACUUAUAGAUGGACCCGCGCCGUAUUAGCUAGUUGGUAAGGUAACGGCUUACCAAGGCAACGAUACGUAGCCGACCUGAGAGGGUGAUCGGCCACACUGGAACUGAGACACGGUCCAGACUCCUACGGGAGGCAGCAGUAGGGAAUCUUCCGCAAUGGACGAAAGUCUGACGGAGCAACGCCGCGUGAGUGAUGAAGGUUUUCGGAUCGUAAAACUCUGUUAUUAGGGAAGAACAAAUGUGUAAGUAACUGUGCACAUCUUGACGGUACCUAAUCAGAAAGCCACGGCUAACUACGUGCCAGCAGCCGCGGUAAUACGUAGGUGGCAAGCGUUAUCCGGAAUUAUUGGGCGUAAAGCGCGCGUAGGCGGUUUCUUAAGUCUGAUGUGAAAGCCCACGGCUCAACCGUGGAGGGUCAUUGGAAACUGGGAAACUUGAGUACAGAAGAGGAAAGUGGAAUUCCAUGUGUA